RNAcentral lists this small RNA (27 nucleotides) under Bombyx mori (domestic silkworm). RNAcentral's name for it is "ovarian small RNA-5547". Lineage: Eukaryota; Metazoa; Arthropoda; Insecta; Lepidoptera; Bombycidae. The record is from RNAcentral.
UAAACCACCGAUGCGUGUGGUCGAAAU